CUUAGUGGCGCACGGGUGCGUAACGCGUGGGAAUCUGCCCUUGGGUUCGGAAUAACAGUGGGAAACUACUGCUAAUACCGGAUGAUGUCUUCGGACCAAAGAUUUAUCGCCCAGGGAUGAGCCCGCGUAGGAUUAGGUAGUUGGUGGGGUAAAGGCCUACCAAGCCGACGAUCCUUAGCUGGUCUGAGAGGAUGAUCAGCCACACUGGGACUGAGACGCGGCCCAGACUCCUACGGGAGGCAGCAGUGGGGAAUAUUGGACAAUGGGGGAAACCCUGAUCCAGCAAUGCCGCGUGAGUGAUGAAGGCCUUAGGGUUGUAAAGCUCUUUUACCCGGGAUGAUAAUGACAGUACCGGGAGAAUAAGCUCCGGCUAACUCCGUGCCAGCAGCCGCGGUAAUACGGAGGGAGCUAGCGUUGUUCGGAAUUACUGGGCGUAAAGCGCACGUAGGCGGCUACUCAAGUCAGAGGUGAAAGCCCGGGGCUCAACCCCGGAACUGCCUUUGAAACUAGGUAGCUAGAAUCCUGGAGAGGCGAGUGGAAUUCCGAGUGUAGAGGUGAAAUUCGUAGAUAUUCGGAAGAACACCAGUGGCGAAGGCGACU
This 600-nucleotide ribosomal RNA is filed under the name uncultured Alphaproteobacteria bacterium. Its description in RNAcentral is "bacterial SSU rRNA". It matches the Rfam family "Bacterial small subunit ribosomal RNA", at positions 91 to 726 of the family's 1533-position model. Lineage: Bacteria; Pseudomonadati; Pseudomonadota; Alphaproteobacteria. The record is from RNAcentral.